Ailuropoda melanoleuca (giant panda) is the source of this 528-nucleotide long non-coding RNA. RefSeq lists it as uncharacterized. The transcript is spliced from 3 exons. The record is from RefSeq and is a predicted model, not a curated record. NCBI's taxonomy places the organism in Eukaryota, Metazoa, Chordata, Mammalia, Carnivora, Ursidae.
UAGGACGUUGCAGGACUUUGUUUAGGGGCCAGAGCGCUAAUUUCUUUUUUUUUCUCUUACAGAUUGAAUUUAUUCUAAAAGUUCUAUCUUCACCUCAGUGAGCUCACAGUAAAUGCUGGUGGAGUGUGAAGUCAGCAACAAAAAGAGCUUUCUGAGCAGCUGCAAAAUGUUUUUAACUUUAAGUGGAAGUUGGGGUCACCGGCAUCGUCAGGCCUGAACACUCUCAGCAAGGGCUCUUUCAGCUCUGACAUUGACUAGCUUGCGGACUUGGGACCACAGUCCUCUGCCUGGUCGUCCUUCUUUGCGGCUCAUCUGCUCCGGUCUAGCCUCGAAACCGCAGCUCGGCGACGGGUGUCCCCAGGGGGGCCAGAGGGGCUCACGCGCGCUCAGAGGGCGGCCGCACCGCCGCCCACCUCGGAGGACCAUGCUGCGAGGCAAGUCCCGGCUCAACGUGGAGUGGCUGGGCUACUCGCCGGGCCUGCUCCUCGAGCGCAGUCAUCUCUUGACAGGGCGCACGCCUCGGAACCC